This 490-nucleotide ribosomal RNA is filed under the name uncultured bacterium. Its description in RNAcentral is "partial 16S ribosomal RNA". It matches the Rfam family "Bacterial small subunit ribosomal RNA", at positions 30 to 507 of the family's 1533-position model. The record is from RNAcentral.
AUUGAACGCUGGCGGCAGGCCUAACACAUGCAAGUCGAACGGUAACAGGAAGCAGCUUGCUGCUUCGCUGACGAGUGGCGGACGGGUGAGUAAUGUCUGGGAAACUGCCUGAUGGAGGGGGAUAACUACUGGAAACGGUAGCUAAUACCGCAUAACGUCGCAAGACCAAAGAGGGGGACCUUAGGGCCUCUUGCCAUCGGAUGUGCCCAGAUGGGAUUAGCUAGUAGGUGGGGUAACGGCUCACCUAGGCGACGAUCCCUAGCUGGUCUGAGAGGAUGACCAGCCACACUGGAACUGAGACACGGUCCAGACUCCUACGGGAGGCAGCAGUGGGGAAUAUUGCACAAUGGGCGCAAGCCUGAUGCAGCCAUGCCGCGUGUAAGAAGAAGGCCUUCGGGUUGUAAAGUACUUUCAGCGGGGAGGAAGGGAGUAAAGUUAAUACCUUUGCUCAUUGACGUUACCCGCAGAAGAAGCACCGGCUAACUCCGUG